Molecule: long non-coding RNA, 470 nt
Filed under: Salmo salar (Atlantic salmon)
Lineage: Eukaryota; Metazoa; Chordata; Actinopteri; Salmoniformes; Salmonidae
Description: lncRNA (ENSSSAG00000106459.1)
Source: RNAcentral
AGGCUAUAUACAGGGGGUACCGGUACAGAGUCAAUGUGGAGGCUAUAUACAGGGGGUUACCGUACAGAGUCAAUGUGGAGGCUAUAUACAGGGUGUUACGGUACAGAGUCAAUGUGGAGGCUAUAUACAGGGUAUUACGGUACAGAGUCAAUGUGGAGGCUAUAUACAGGGUGUUACGGUACAGAGUCAAUGUGGAGGCUAUAUACAGGGCGUACCGGUACAGAGUCAAUGUGGAGGCUAUAUACAGGGUGUUACGGUACAGAGUCAAUGUGGAGGCUAUAUACAGGGGGUACCGGUGCAGAGUCAAUGUGGAGGCUAUAUACAGGGGGUACCGGUACAGAGUCAAUGUGGAGGCUAUAUACAGGGGUGACCGGUACAGAGUCAAUGUGGAGGCUAUAUACAGGGUGUUACGCUACCGAGUCAAUGUGGAGGCUAUAUACAGGGGGGUACCGGUACAGAGUCAAUGUGGA